UGUACAUGAGAAAAACGUCCAGUGAAGAAAGAAAUCGUCAUCUAUCUAACUCCAGGGAAUAUUAUCCUUUCCUAGUGACUCAUAAAGAGUAUUAACAUUUUAAAGGAUCUUUAAAAAAAUAUCCAACAUUAAUUAAAUCAGCAGUUUCUAGACUUCACUGAUCAGGAAUUACCCUCUUUCCUCUUUUUCCCUCUUUGGGUAACAGCCAUUAUCAUCCUGCAGACCUAGCGGUCCUGGGAAUUCACUUCAGGCAAUGUUCUAUUAUUGGAUUUUAUCCCCAAGUUUUUUGAGGGGAUUAGGAAUGAGCUCCUGAAUUUUGGGAAAAUAAAUGCUUCUUGCUAAAG
RNAcentral lists this long non-coding RNA (344 nucleotides) under Bos taurus (domestic cattle). RNAcentral describes it as "long non-coding RNA NONBTAT015339". The record is from RNAcentral. Lineage: Eukaryota; Metazoa; Chordata; Mammalia; Artiodactyla; Bovidae.